UGAAGGAGGGAAAAGAGGAGAGGAGAGAGCGUGUGGGGCCGGAGGGCACCGCGUUAGGUGAAGCCAGCAAAGCCACGAACAGAGAAAGACAGAGAUGCUGACAAAGUUGUACUGCUGGGUUGUCUUCAGAAAUGAGAAUCUACCACAGAUUUAAUUUAGUUAAUUAAAUAAUAAUUAAGAAAAAACAUUAGUGUAAAUUGCUGGGCUGCUUUCAUAAUUCCUAUUAUGGGUCCGUUCUAUAAUAAUUAGAUGCAUACU
Molecule: long non-coding RNA, 258 nt
Organism: Ipomoea nil (Japanese morning glory)
Lineage: Eukaryota; Viridiplantae; Streptophyta; Magnoliopsida; Solanales; Convolvulaceae
Exons: 2
Source: RefSeq, a predicted model, not a curated record